Molecule: ribosomal RNA, 237 nt
Filed under: uncultured bacterium
Lineage: Bacteria
Description: partial 16S ribosomal RNA
Rfam family: Bacterial small subunit ribosomal RNA
Source: RNAcentral
CAGAGNAAACCCCUAAAAGCCAUCCCAGUUCGGAUUGCAGGCUGCAACCCGCCUGUAUGAAGUUGGAAUCGCUAGUAAUCGCGGAUCAGCAUGCCGCGGUGAAUACGUUCCCGGGCCUUGUACACACCGCCCGUCACACCAUGAGAGUCGGGAACACCCGAAGUCCGUAGCCUAACCGCAAGGAGGGCGCGGCCGAAGGUGGGUUCGAUAAUUGGGGUGAAGUCGUAACAAGGUAGC